Molecule: long non-coding RNA, 2390 nt
Organism: Drosophila montana
Lineage: Eukaryota; Metazoa; Arthropoda; Insecta; Diptera; Drosophilidae
Exons: 4
Source: RefSeq, a predicted model, not a curated record
UGUAUAUUUUGUCUUGAAUAAACCAACCCCGGACCUCGAGUCAGCCAAACAAACAUUUAUAAAAUGGAAAGGUCGCCAAAUACACGUUAUUUAUAUAAAAAAAAUUAUUUUUGCUACGGAACUGCUUUUUCCUCUAGGGAUACUGCCGUACCCUGCCUAAAUAGCUUUCUGGGGUUUGUAAGGGACGAUGGCAAAAAGGUAUGUUUUUGUGUACAUAUGUAUGUAUACACGUGUGUACAGUUCGUACAUGCGUUAAAUAACCGAGAUUUCGUGUAACUUGCCUUGGAAAUAGCUCGAGCCGUUUCCCUACAGAGCAUUAAUGAUUUAAACCUUUCAACGUGAUCAGAAAAAAAACCCCCUGCAUCGGACAACUAUCCGGGCUCUCUUCCCUCUGCUUUUAACCAGGGGCGGACAAUUCUCGCUGUCGGAGUCCCGCAUUUGCCGUUCACCUCCUCGUUUCUUCUGUUACUCUCCGGCCCGAAAAAAAUUUUGGUGGACCUGGCAACAUGAAACUUGCCCGUCUUUGGCGGUUUUGGUGGUUCAAGAUUGGCAUGUACUUAUUUUUGUAGUUUUUAAUUUUCGUCUUCGCAAUUUAACCACGUAUAUUUAGUUUUUAUUCGUUUUUCGCGCAGCACUUGUUACGGCUGCAUGGCAACUUUUAUACAUGUACAGAUUUUGAUAUAUGUUUAUGUGUCUCGUUGGCAGGCACAUAUGUUCCUUCUUUUUUAUUGUGAAAUUAAAUUAUUUUUAAAUUAAAUACUAUCGGUGCCUCGACCGCGGGAAUAUUAUUUUCUUUUUAUUUGAAACUCUCAAACUAGGUUCAGGGAUUUAAUGCCCAGCACGCCUGCCGUUGACGGCUGACAAAGUCGAACGCCUCGCUGUACAUUUGGUUUUUACGGUUUGGCUGCUGCCAGCCAAAUAAUAAUAAAUUUAUUUGAAGAAAUUAUAUUAAAAUCGGCUUAAAAGAUAUUGAUUAUCUACCGAACCUACCUCAGUACAUUACAAGCAUAAGCGAAUACAAGUUUCUUCGGCAGCAAAUGCCACUGCAGGAAAUAAUAACACAUUUAAAUAUGCUGUUAUGCAUGUAUAUUCACACACAUACAAAUAUAAUUGCUUGCACGGCCCUCAUAGAGCCGAAAGGGAGAGUACGUUAUAUUUUGCGCGCUUUCGCUCUUUAAUCUGUGAGAGGGCAGUGAUACUGGUUUCGCUUUCGUUGUAAAUGUACAGAAGCAUUUUGUUGUAUGACGUUGCUCAUCUUACUGUUUAUACUGUCUUUGCUUGUACCGAUACCUAUUGAAUAGCCAAAUAGUUUCAAUCUCCACGUCAAGAAGCGGAGACGUGUAAAAUAGUGUAUGUUAAAUGUCUGUGGCCAUCUGGCAUCACAGAAAUUAAUUCAUUUUAAGUUUUUUGUCUUUCAUAAGUUUUGUUACACUAAUUUGGAACUUCACCACAUUACGAAAAGCACGUACAAUUUUCUUCUAGCUCGAGCUCCCUAUCCUUCAACAUCUACGCUUCUAAAUAUUCACUUUUUUUGCACGUCAAGGUGUCUGCAGCCUUCGAUCUUCAACAACAUUGAAAGCAUUUAACGCAUCCUGUGAGUUGGCUCGACUGCUGGAAGAAUUCAAGGACAUCACACAACUCAAUGCCUUAGCACCGAUGCACACAACAUCUAGUGUAGCUCACUGCACUGAGACAAAAGGCCCACCAACAUUCGCAAGACCUGGUCGACUCAAUCCAGACAAAUUUAAGGCUGCCAAAAUGGAAUUCAAGUUCUUGCUUAAAAUAGGUGUGUGCCGACCAUCAAAAAGUGCAUACGCAUCGCCGGUGCACAUGGUCCGCAAGCGAAUAGAUCCUCAUCGAACCAGGCGACGUCCAAAAGACUGCAAUAACCACACCAUUUGGAUUAUUUGAGUUUACACACAUGACAUUUGGAUUGUGCAACGCUGCACAAACCUUCCAAAGGUACAUGCAUUCCGCACUGAGGGACUUAGACUUUGUCUUCGUCUAUAUAGAUGAUAUCGCCGUUGCAUCAGACAAUAUGGAGCAACACCAAAUCCAUCUUCGGCAAGUUUUUGAACGACUUCGACGUUUUAAUCUCAAAAUAAAUUCUAGGGAAUGUCGUUUCGGUCAAACAUCAAUCGAGUUUCUUGGUCAUUUGAUCGAUCAUAGUGGCAUCAAACCAUUACCAGACAAAGUCAAAACCAUCAUCGAAUUUCCCUUACCCACAGUCGCAAAAGAACUGAAACGUUUUUUGGCAAUGAUUAACUUUAAUCCUGCCAAAAGCAAGCACUCAUCAAGCACCACUGGUACAAUUAAUACCGGGUAACAUAAAAAGCGACUCAACUCCAAUAACUUGGACAGGUGAUACGCUAAAACAUUUUAAGGAAUGA